AACCUGCGGGCUAGGUGGGUGGCUCGCCAGCCGGGACGAAGGGAAAUGAGGACCGCCGCUCCGGGGCGCGAGUAGGCGCGUGGAGUCCAGGGGCUCAGCCGCCGCGCCUCCUCCUCCUGCAGCUGGAGACUGCAACAGCGGCGGGCGCACCGGCAGCAGCGACGACCCUGAGCGCAGGUGGCAGUGUAGAAGCCAAACCGGGAGCUUCUAGAAGUGGUUUCUGAAAGAGUCAAAUGUACAUGAGUAAGCAAGCACAGGAAUCUGAAAAACCACAGGCCCACUAAUUUGCCUGCUUGUCUAAAAUAAGGAGUUAUGUGCUGAUGAGAGACAUGUUUGUAAUGUUAUUCAUUGUGACACAGUUCAAAAGAAUUUGCCUUUGAUUCUCAUUAAAAUGUAAAGUUUUGCGUAUUAA
Piliocolobus tephrosceles (Ugandan red Colobus) is the source of this 412-nucleotide long non-coding RNA. RefSeq lists it as uncharacterized. The transcript has 3 exons. Lineage: Eukaryota; Metazoa; Chordata; Mammalia; Primates; Cercopithecidae. The record is from RefSeq and is a predicted model, not a curated record.